Molecule: ribosomal RNA, 253 nt
Filed under: uncultured bacterium
Lineage: Bacteria
Description: partial 16S ribosomal RNA
Rfam family: Bacterial small subunit ribosomal RNA
Source: RNAcentral
UACGUAGGGGGCAAGCGUUGUCCGGAAUCAUUGGGCGUAAAGAGCGUGUAGGCGGUCCAGUAAGUCCGCUGUGAAAGUCAAGGGCUCAACCCUUGAAUGCCGGUGGAUACUGCUGGACUAGAGUCCGGAAGAGGCGAGUGGAAUUCCUGGUGUAGCGGUGAAAUGCGCAGAUAUCAGGAGGAACACCUAUGGCGAAGGCAGCUCGCUGGGACGGUACUGACGCUGAGACGCGAAAGCGUGGGGAGCAAACAGG